Non-coding RNA from Schistosoma rodhaini, 46 nucleotides. The record is from Rfam. NCBI's taxonomy places the organism in Eukaryota, Metazoa, Platyhelminthes, Trematoda, Strigeidida, Schistosomatidae.
GCACUACUGAGGAGUCCCACAACGGAACGAAACGGCCGUCCAGUGC